Molecule: non-coding RNA, 113 nt
Organism: Acanthosepion pharaonis
Lineage: Eukaryota; Metazoa; Mollusca; Cephalopoda; Sepiida; Sepiidae
Source: the annotation of a GenBank genome assembly
UUACGACCAUAUCACGUUGAAACACCGGUUCUCAUACGACCACCGAAGUUAAUCAACAUCGAGACUGGUCAGUACAUAGAUGGGUGACCGCAUGGCAACACCAGUGCUGUAAG